UACAGAGGGUGCAAGCGUUGUUCGGAAUUAUUGGGCGUAAAGGGCGCGUAGGCGGCGCGGUAAGUCACCUGUGAAAUCUCCAAGCUUAACUUGGAGCCUGCAGGCGAAACUGCCGUGCUGGAGUAUGGGAGAGGUGCGUGGAAUUACGGGUGUAGCGGUGAAAUGCGUAGAUAUCCGUAGGAACAUCCGAGGCGAAAGCGGCUCGCUGGAUCACAACUGACGCUGAGAGACGAAAGCUAGGGGAGCAAACAG
This 252-nucleotide ribosomal RNA is filed under the name uncultured bacterium. Its description in RNAcentral is "partial 16S ribosomal RNA". It matches the Rfam family "Bacterial small subunit ribosomal RNA", at positions 524 to 775 of the family's 1533-position model. The record is from RNAcentral.